Molecule: ribosomal RNA, 365 nt
Filed under: Burkholderia sp. NF75
Lineage: Bacteria; Pseudomonadati; Pseudomonadota; Betaproteobacteria; Burkholderiales; Burkholderiaceae
Description: bacterial SSU rRNA
Rfam family: Bacterial small subunit ribosomal RNA
Source: RNAcentral
UAAGAACGGGAAAUCCUUGCUGGAGAGGUGGGAGUGCCCGAAAGGGAGCCGUAACACAGGUGCUGCAUGGCUGUCGUCAGCUCGUGUCGUGAGAUGUUGGGUUAAGUCCCGCAACGAGCGCAACCCUUGUCCCUAGUUGCUACGCAAGAGCACUCUAGGGAGACUGCCGGUGACAAACCGGAGGAAGGUGGGGAUGACGUCAAGUCCUCAUGGCCCUUAUGGGUAGGGCUUCACACGUCAUACAAUGGUCGGAACAGAGGGUUGCCAAGCCGCGAGGUGGAGCCAAUCCCAGAAAACCGAUCGUAGUCCGGAUCGCAGUCUGCAACUCGACUGCGUGAAGCUGGAAUCGCUAGUAAUCGCGGAUC